UACGUAGGGCGCGAGCGUUGUCCGGAAUUAUUGGGCGUAAAGAGCUCGUAGGCGGCCUGUUGCGUCCGCUGUGAAAUCCCAGGGCUUAACCCUGGGCGUGCAGUGGAUACGGGCAGGCUGGAGGCAGGCAGGGGAGAACGGAAUUCCUGGUGUAGCGGUGAAAUGCGCAGAUAUCAGGUGGAACACCAGUGGCGAAGGCGGCUUUCUGGACGGUAACUGACGCUGAGACGCGAAAGCGUGGGGAGCAAACAGG
This 253-nucleotide ribosomal RNA is filed under the name uncultured bacterium. RNAcentral describes it as "partial 16S ribosomal RNA". It matches the Rfam family "Bacterial small subunit ribosomal RNA", at positions 524 to 776 of the family's 1533-position model. The record is from RNAcentral.